Eriocheir sinensis (Chinese mitten crab) is the source of this 173-nucleotide long non-coding RNA. RefSeq lists it as uncharacterized. Lineage: Eukaryota; Metazoa; Arthropoda; Malacostraca; Decapoda; Varunidae. The record is from RefSeq and is a predicted model, not a curated record. The transcript is spliced from 3 exons.
CGUGUGAUAUGUUUCCAGGUAAUGUUUUGUGAUAUGUUUCCUGGUAAUGCUGUGUGAUAUAUUUUCAGGUAAUGUCGUGAUGUGUUUCCAGGUAAUGUUGUGUGAUAUGUUUCCAGGUAAUGUCGUGUGAUGUGUUUCCAGGUAAUGUCGUGUGAUGUGUUUCCAGGUAAUGU